GAAAAACACCCAGAUGGUGCCUGUUAUUCAGAAUGUGUUUCUAUUCAUUGUGGCAUUCUACUAGGCUACAUCUACAAUGCAACAGCAAAUGUUUUGAUGGCCAUUGAUGAUUGGAGAGCAGCAUUGGAACAUUAGCUUGUCUGGGCUAAAAGCCCUACUAAAUAGAUUCCUCUUGGGAAACUUUGUCUAUUCCUUAGUUAAGUUAAAAAUCACAUCACACAUCAUAAGUUACUUAAAAAAAUUUAAACAAAUUCAGAUUAGGAUUUUGAGAAAAUUUCAGCUGAAGUAUUUGUGUGACCUAUGUGCUGCCUAAGUGCUUGUGAAAACAGAUCAAACGGUAAAUUGCAAUAGUGCAAGCU
Molecule: long non-coding RNA, 359 nt
Filed under: Daphnia pulicaria
Lineage: Eukaryota; Metazoa; Arthropoda; Branchiopoda; Diplostraca; Daphniidae
Description: uncharacterized LOC124311712, transcript variant X1
Source: RNAcentral